GAACAUUUAUAAUUAAUUUAUGGUUAGCUUAAUAAAAAGCUUGUUAUAUAUUUAUAUGGACCAACAUAUUUUUCUAAGGAUUCUAAAAAUGAUUGUGGUGAUGACAUGUGGCUACAAAAAAUAUGUUGUAGUGCUUCUCUUUUAAUAUAUAAGGGUUAUAUAUAUAUGUUUGAGCGUGUGAGAAGAAGCUUGAUUACGAUUACAAGUUGAGACAUUUUUCUCAUCUCUUCUCAUCUUGAUAAUGUUUUCCUCUUGCCUCCUUUAAAAACUUCAAGAGAAGGCAAUUUUCUUUUCUAAUUAAUAAAUUUUUGAUUAUAGCUAGGGUUGAUGUAAGGUUUGCAUAUCUACAUGGAUCUAUUUCUGUGCUGGUUUUGAGAGGCUGAAGCUGCCAGCAUGAUCUGUACCAGAUCAUCCUGCGGCUUCAUUCACUCAAUCACCAACAACGGCAAAACAAUGAACUUAAAUUUCAUGAGAAAAGCGAUUCCCGUUUGACUUUUGCGACUAGCCUCUAUCAUCACUCGAGGAACAUAAACAAUCAAUGUAAUGCUGAAGCCCUCCUUGAGGAUCCAUAUGUCUUCCAAAUAUGAUGCAAAAGCAGGGGUUUGGAUACUAUCUUCAUCAGCUGAAAAUAAUAUAUAGCAAAAGUCACCUGAAAUUGACGUAAAUUCUUCAUGCAUUAUAUUGCCAAUAUGAGUACCUCAAUAUUUGAGUGGAGAAGGGAAAGCGCUGCACUCGUGUUCAUUGCUCCCACUAGACCAUCAAAACCCUGCAAAGUACUGUAUCAGGUUUGUCCCAAUAAAUUUCCCCCCUCCUUCCAUUAUAACUAAUAUCAUAAUUUUUAAUAUUGAAAUUAUUAUAUGUAUGAAAAUAACUAAUAUUUGUAGAUACAAUAAACAUCUUUAAAUUAAUAAUAUCGAGACUGUGAAAUUUUCUUAAUUUAUAGAGUUAUUAAUUUAUAAAAAGUUUAUUUUUUAAAAAAAAUCUCUCUAUUUUAAAAUAUAAAUUUUUAUAAAAUAUGUUUCAUAUCAUUUAAAUGUAAUUUUAGAUAUAACUUUACUAAAUAUUAUCAAAAUAGAUAGAAUUGUUAAAAAAAUAAAGAUAAAUUUUAUUGUGAAUAUAAAACAAAUAAUACAAUGUGUUGUUUGUACUUAUAUAAACCUUAUAUAGCUAUAUAUAAAUUAUUAGUUUAUAAUUUUAGUGGGACUAUACAUUUACGUAAGAUUUUCUAAAAAACUAUUAUCUUAUUAUUUUAUCGAUUUAUUUCAUAUUUUGAACAUGUCCAACUUGGGACAAAUGUUUUUUACUAAUUUACCGUGUUUAUUAAUUUAUAAAUUUUCUAAUGUAUAUAUUUUUACUUCAGAUAUUUUCGGAUACCAGCGAAUUUUUAAUUCGGUUCAGUUUGAGAUUCGUUUCUUCGAGUAUAGGAAAUCAUGUAGCGUUCGGAUAUCUAUAUCAGAUCGGGUUCAGUUUGGUGUCUUAAAAUUUGGAUUGGAUCCGGUUCGGAUCUUUGGAUCCAGAUAAUUUACUCAGAUGUACUUAAAUUUAUAAUUAAGUUUAAUAUAAUAUAUUGACAAAAGGUGUAGUUUAUUGACAAGACACAUAAUUAUCAUAUUAAUAAUAGUUGAUCAAACUAUAGAAUUAGCCUAUCACCUUUACAUGUUGAACGUGAAGCCUUUAUUUCGCAAAUGAAAUGCAUGAAGAUCCUAUAUUUUAUGGAAGUGAAGUUUGCUACGGACUAAGCUCAAUUGGUAAAGAUGGUGUCUGCACCGACAGAAUGGCUAGCUUUCACACCCCUCUUCGAGGAAGUACAACGAUGUAAGACGUUCUUUCCUCAUUUCUCACUCCAGCAUAUUUCUAGAGCAAAAAAGUAUUAUGGCGGAUAAACUUGCAUGAGGUGCAGAACCUCUCCUUCAGCUAUGUACUAUGUUGGCACUUCGACUUCAACUUGGGAGAAAUUUUUUAUUAAAUCGUGAAAGUCAUUUCAUAUAGUAGUUCUUAAAAAUAAUAUAUAAAUUUACAAAAAUAUUUUUAUGCGAGAAAAAUUGAAAUCAUGUAAUUAUAAACAUUUGUAAAUGAUAUAAUUAAGAUCUAAUAAAAUUUAAUUGUUUUCAACAUAGAUGAGUUGAUUUAGAAUGAGUCAUGAUAUUAUUUGGUUUAGGGUUUGGUAACAUAUGUUAUAUUAUUGAUUGUAUUUUAGGGUUAGAUUUUGGAAUCCUAACUUUUGUUUUGAAAAAUUAAAUUUGACUUAUAUGUGUUUAGUUUUGUGUAUAUUAAACACUUUAAAGGUUGAUUUUAAGUUUAAUGAAGUGUUUGUUUUUUUUUAGUUUAGUUAUUUGAUUUUAGGGUUUAGGUGACUUUAAUUUUAACAAAUAAAGCAUUAUAUGAAAGUCUUCCGAAUCGAAAAUAUCCAAUCUUAUUAGAAUUUUUGUCUCCUUAUAUAAAGAAAAGUUACACAUUUUCUCACUCCCUCUCUCUCAAAUGGCAACAACAAAAAUGUAAUGUUUCUCAUUCUAAAACUCUCAAACCUCUCUCUAAUCUCUUUAAAUUUGAAAACACCAAACUUUAUAUCAAUUUCUCAAUUUUUUGUUUCAUGUCUCUCACUGAUUUAUCUUGUUUUUGCAGAUUUUUUAUUACAUGGUUUUCAUCUUCCACCCUUUUUAUGUUAUAUUUAUAAAUUUUGUGUUUGAUUCUAAAAAGUUAUAUAUUCAACCUAACGUGACUGUUUUAUUUAUUAUUUAAGUAUUAAAAACUUAUUUUAAAGUUAUUCUCUAUUUUGAAGCCAUUUGAAUGGUUUUGUAUAUGUAUGUUUUUCAGUUCCGAGUUAGACUUUUAGGAAGUCUUUUCUUCUUAGAAGUCUUCUAGCAUAUAAUGCACUAGAAUACUUCCCAAAAAGUCUUCUCUCAUGUCUCUUAUUUCAUAACAGACCUGAGCAUUUUGGUUAGUCUACAUGUCUGAUUUUUCUUCAUUUGGUAAUCUCUUGUUGAUUAAAGCUCUUACCUCUCUCUCAAACUAUGUCUGAGUCUUUGAUUUAGUUUUAGAUCUGGAGCUGUCAAAGUGGAGGAGCUGUCCGAGAUGGAGGAAGAGGCCUCAGAGGUUGCUGCUGGAGGUGUCAAAGUAGCAGAUGAGAUCUCGUAGGUUGAAGUUGAUGGUGGAGCCAAAACAAAUAUGAGCGUUUUUUGUAACUCUCCAUGUAUAAAUUUUGUUCACCUGGUUUUUGAAGAUUUCAUGGAAAACUUCUGCUUCAUGCAUGCGAAUUCUUCUGAAGUAUUCCAGGAAGUCUUCCACCUCAUGCAUGCGAAUUCUUCUGAAGUAUUCCAGGAAGUCUUCCACCUCAUGCAUGCGAAGUCUUUUGAAGUAUUCCAAGAAGUCUUCUCAAGUAUUCAAGACUCCUAAUAUUGACUAAUGUAUAUAAAUUAAUAAGAAAAUAUUAAGCAAUCAUUUUAAUUAUAGAAAAAAUGAAAAUUUAUUAAACAUUGUCCUAUAAGACUUUUACGAAAGUCUUCUGGUAGAAGACUUCUAGGAAGUCUACCAUUUAUGUCAUUUUUGCAAUUGCAAAUUUACAAAAGAAGACUUCUAAAGAAAUCUGCUAUGCAGCAGACUUCUCUAGAAGUCUUCCUUUGUAAGUAUUGGCUUACUUUGGUAUUUGAAUUUUUUUUGAAAAUACCAGAGAAGUCUUUCUUGGAAAUCUUCAAUAAAAAGUCAUAUUUUGGACAC
Brassica rapa (field mustard) is the source of this 3714-nucleotide long non-coding RNA. RefSeq lists it as uncharacterized. Lineage: Eukaryota; Viridiplantae; Streptophyta; Magnoliopsida; Brassicales; Brassicaceae. The record is from RefSeq and is a predicted model, not a curated record.